CACGCUGUAAACGAUGAGUACUAAGUGUCGGGAAACCGGUGCUGAAGUUAACACAUUAAGUACUCCGCCUGAGUAGUACGGUCGCAAGGCUAAAACUUAAAGGAAUUGACGGGCACCCGCACAAGCGGUGGAGCAUGCUGUUUAAUUCGUGGAUACGCGAAAAACCUUACCUAGACUUGACAUCCCUGGCAAAACUAUAGAAAUAUAGUGGAGGUUACCCAGGUGACAGGUGG
Molecule: ribosomal RNA, 233 nt
Filed under: uncultured bacterium
Lineage: Bacteria
Description: partial 16S ribosomal RNA
Rfam family: Bacterial small subunit ribosomal RNA
Source: RNAcentral